GGGAUUCCGACAACCCAGCGGGAAGUGCUCUAGCGGGGAUUCUGGGCUUGUGAGAGUCCCUGUUUACCCCCCUUUCUUCCUUUUCAUCCAUUAAAACCCUACUUUACUCACCAUUCAAACUGUUUGUGAGCCUAAAUUUUCAUAGCCGUAGGACGGACAAGGACCCCAUCGCUAGCUGAACUAAGGAAAAGUCCUGAAACAUUUUUGGCCUGCAACGUGGGGACUCAAGAAGCACUAGGGAUCUGGAUUUAGACACAGACAACCAGAUAUACUCAUGCGAAGCACUGAUUCAGAACUAAACUGUAGAAGGACGACGCAGUGGCAGAGAAGGUGUCUACUUCACUGGCACAGAAGUCCAGUCUCCUUAUUGUCAGACAGCACAUAAGAUGUGUUCCUGAAGAAUUUCAGAGAGGAGUCCAAGUUGUAAGCCAGCUGGAAACAAGAUGACUACUAUAAUGGCAUGAGAGUGUUCAUUAAGCAAAUUGUAUCUUGCCUUAAGGUCUACGCUAGGCUCUAGAGUUUCAACGCAUUAAAGGUACAGCCCCCUGAUGGAACUAAAUAGAGAACCCAGAAAUAAACCCAUUCAUAUAUGGUCAACUGAUACUCAACAAUAAGGAAAGAAAGUCUCUUUUAUAAAUUACAUUUGAAACACUAUCUACAUGAGAAAGACAUUUGCCCUUUAUCUUACACCAUACACAAAAAUCAACUCAAAAUGGAUUGAAGAUCUAAAUGUAAGACUUGAAACCAUUAAAAGCCUAGGAAAAAAACAUGGAGAAAAUCUCCUUGACAUUGGUCUUGACAAUGGUUUUUUGGCUAGAACACCAAGAGCACAGGCAAGAAGAGCAAACAAUACCAAGUGGGACUGUAUCAAACUAAAAAGCUUCUACACAGCAAAGGAAAGAGUCAACAAAAUGAAAAGGCAACAUGUAAUGAGAGAAAACAUCUGCAAACCACAUAUCUAAUAUUCAAAUUAUAUGAGAAAUUCAUACAACUAAAUAGUAAGAAAAUGAAGAAUCCAAUUAAAAAAUGGACAAAAGACCUGAAUAGGCAUUUCCAAAAGAAGAUAUACAGAUGUUCAAUAGGUAUAUGAAAAAAUGUUCAACAUCACUAAUCCUCAGAGAAAUACAAAUUAAAAUCAUAAUGAGGUAUCACUACACACCUUUUAGAAUAUCUAUUAUCAAAAAUGAAAGAUAAAUGCUGUCAGAAAUGUGGAAAAAUGAAACUUUUGUACAUAGUUCGUGGGAAUGUAAAUUAGUGUAACCAUUACAGAAAACAGUAGGGAGGUUUCUCAAAAAAUUAAAAAUAGAACUACCAUAUGAUCCAACAAAUCACUACUAGGUGUAUUUCCAAAGGAAUGAAAUCAGUUUAUUAAAUAGAUAUCUGCACUGUCAUGUUCAUUGCAGCAUUAUUCACAAUAGUGAAGAUAUGGAAUCAGCCUAAGUGUCUGUCAAUGGAUGAAAUGGAUGAAGAAAAUGUGAUAUGUAUAUAUCUAUAUAUAUGAUUCUAUAUAUAUAAAAUAUCAUAUAUAGAUUAUAUAUCACAUAGAGAGAGCUCCAUAUAUAUAUAUGGAGGCUGA
Molecule: long non-coding RNA, 1576 nt
Filed under: Homo sapiens (human)
Lineage: Eukaryota; Metazoa; Chordata; Mammalia; Primates; Hominidae
Description: HSALNT0128615
Source: RNAcentral